Molecule: unclassified non-coding RNA, 208 nt
Filed under: Paraglomerales sp.
Lineage: Eukaryota; Fungi; Glomeromycota; Glomeromycetes; Paraglomerales
Description: partial contains 5.8S ribosomal RNA and internal transcribed spacer 2
Rfam family: 5.8S ribosomal RNA (bases 1-66)
Source: RNAcentral
GUGAAUCAUCGAAUUUUUGAACGCAAAUUGCGCCUUCUUUCGGGAGGUAUGUCUGUUUGAGGGGACCAUUUAACAAAUAAUGUGCGGGUCGCUAUGCGGCGUGCAUAUGUUGAUGAGUUUUUCCGAAAAAACCAGUUUUUUUUUGGUGGCGCAUAAUGUACAGCGUGGGCUUUUUCUUUCGAUUCCCGUGUAGUACGUAAAUUUAGAC